This 74-nucleotide transfer RNA is filed under the name Chthonomonadaceae bacterium. It matches the Rfam family "tRNA". Rfam says of the family: Transfer RNA (tRNA) molecules are approximately 80 nucleotides in length. Their secondary structure includes four short double-helical elements and three loops (D, anti-codon, and T loops). Further hydrogen bonds mediate the characteristic L-shaped molecular structure. tRNAs have two regions of fundamental functional importance: the anti-codon, which is responsible for specific mRNA codon recognition, and the 3' end, to which the tRNAs corresponding amino acid is attached (by aminoacyl-tRNA synthetases). tRNAs cope with the degeneracy of the genetic code in two manners: having more than one tRNA (with a specific anti-codon) for a particular amino acid; and 'wobble' base-pairing, i.e. permitting non-standard base-pairing at the 3rd anti-codon position. Lineage: Bacteria; Bacillati; Armatimonadota; Chthonomonadia; Chthonomonadales; Chthonomonadaceae. The record is from Rfam by way of RNAcentral.
GCGAUUUUAGCUCAGUCGGUUAGAGCGCCUGUUUGUGGAGCAGGAGGUCACGGGUUCGAAUCCCGCAAGUCGCC